This 540-nucleotide ribosomal RNA is filed under the name Triticum aestivum (bread wheat). RNAcentral's name for it is "partial small subunit ribosomal RNA". Lineage: Eukaryota; Viridiplantae; Streptophyta; Magnoliopsida; Poales; Poaceae. The record is from RNAcentral.
AUGGUCAAGGAAAUUAAGUGGCUUGAAAAUCAUGUGCUUAAAGAAGAUACUCCAGAGUGGGAGCAAAUCCGUCGUAAAGGUUUGUACCAAGCAAUUAGGAUUGCUGCUGAGUUCCCCAACAUUGAUUUCAGUCUAGCAUAUUAUGGUUUCAUGGAGUAUAUAUGGAGGACUCGCUUUUAUGUCGUGUUUGUGAAAGGUCUUGACCGUGCCUAUUUUGAGAUUUGGAAGUGGGUUACUGGGCAGCAGAUGUGUUUCAGAGAUGCUCUGCAUGAAGUUUACAAUGAGAAUUUGAUUCCAUCGCGCCAACACAUUUUGAAGGCCGAGCUGCAGCAACCUGGAGGCUUUUUGCAACUGGAGCGACAAUUCCACCGGUGCACAGAGGGCAUUAGUAAGGAAGUUCCGGAUUGGAUAGCCCAAGAGUUGAUUUCUCAGGAAGUUAGAUUCAAGCGCCGCGCGUUGCCAAAGACAUAUGCGCAAUACGCGAGGAAGAAGCUCAAGGUUGCAGAAGCCAUAGGAUUGAUUCCCAAGGCCAAGGCCUAG